GAAGCCACUGAUUUAAUUUGUUAUGUUUGUUUUUGGUCGGCAAUAAUUAUGGAGUAUAUAGCUUAACAUGAGCGUUGUUAUUGUGUAUGAUAGUAUUUUGAUACGGCUGGUAUAGCAAUAUCUUUGAUGUGUAUUAUUAUGGUUGUUUUUAGUCUUUUUUUUUUUGAGGCAAUGAUUGUUAUAAGUCUUAAUAACAAGUAAUCAAGAUCAUUGUGUGAAUUACUGUUUUAUUCCACUAAUU
RNAcentral lists this long non-coding RNA (241 nucleotides) under Salvia miltiorrhiza (redroot sage). RNAcentral describes it as "long non-coding RNA (SMIL_LNC010654)". Lineage: Eukaryota; Viridiplantae; Streptophyta; Magnoliopsida; Lamiales; Lamiaceae. The record is from RNAcentral.